ACAGAGGGUGCAAGCGUUAAUCGGAAUUACUGGGCGUAAAGCGUGCGUAGGCGGUUUCGUAAGUCGGAUGUGAAAGCCCCGGCUCAACCUGGGAAUUGCAUUCGAGACUGCGAAGCUCGAGUGCGGAAGAGGGAAGUGGAAUUUCCGGUGUAGCGGUGAAAUGCGUAGAUAUCGGAAGGAACAUCAGUGGCGAAAGCGACUUCCUGGUCCAGCACUGACGCUCAGGCACGAAAGCGUGGGGAGCAA
This 246-nucleotide ribosomal RNA is filed under the name uncultured bacterium. RNAcentral's name for it is "partial 16S ribosomal RNA". It matches the Rfam family "Bacterial small subunit ribosomal RNA", at positions 525 to 771 of the family's 1533-position model. The record is from RNAcentral.